This 148-nucleotide non-coding RNA is filed under the name Nomascus leucogenys (northern white-cheeked gibbon). Lineage: Eukaryota; Metazoa; Chordata; Mammalia; Primates; Hylobatidae. The record is from Rfam by way of RNAcentral.
GCCGGGUGUGGUGGUGCAUGCCUGUAAUCCCAGCUACUUGAGAGGCUGAGGCAGGAGAAUUGCUUGAACCCAGGAGGCAGAGGUUGCAGUGAGCUGAGAUCGUGCCACUGCACUCCAGCCUGGGCAACAGAGCAAGACUCUGUCUCGA